AGCGACAUAUUACACAAGGCAACAAAAAUCGAAAAAAUGUGUUGCGGCAAAUGCUAAAGCUGUUUCCUGAUUAACUUUUCUGUGCUGAUAACGAAUCCAAACUCUAGCUAAGAACCAAAAGGCGAAGCUAGAAGUCUCGACUACUAUCCCUGAAAAUAUCAUCUGUCCACCUUGACUUGAUGGUUACUUAUAGUCAUUUGUUGAACAGCAAAACCUGAGUUUGUGCGAAGUUUAAGCAAAAAAAAACAAAACUGACUUCAAUUCCCUUGAAGUACAUCCUUUCCGAUGAAAAGAAAAAUUAUCAAAAUCGGUUAACGUGAUCCAAAGUUAUGUAUCCGGUAACAUACAUAAAAAAUAUUCUGACAAACUGAUAACCUUCUCCUUUUUGUGAAUUCGGUUAAAAAGGUAA
Long non-coding RNA from Rhagoletis zephyria (snowberry fruit fly), 409 nucleotides. RefSeq lists it as uncharacterized. Lineage: Eukaryota; Metazoa; Arthropoda; Insecta; Diptera; Tephritidae. The record is from RefSeq and is a predicted model, not a curated record.